RNAcentral lists this ribosomal RNA (1460 nucleotides) under Priestia megaterium. Its description in RNAcentral is "Bacillus megaterium partial 16S ribosomal RNA". It matches the Rfam family "Bacterial small subunit ribosomal RNA", at positions 37 to 1368 of the family's 1533-position model. The record is from RNAcentral. Lineage: Bacteria; Bacillati; Bacillota; Bacilli; Caryophanales; Bacillaceae.
CGGACAGAUGCCUAUACUGCAAGUCGAGCGAACAGAUUAGAACCUCGUUCUCUCGAGGACUUUAUACGCAGAAGGGUGAGUAACACGUGGGCACCCGCCCUGUAAGAGGGGGAUAACUCCGGGAACCGGGAGCUAACCCCGGAUAACAUUUAUCCCUAUGCGGAUCAAAGAAUUGAAAGAUGCUUUCGGCUAUCACUUACACGAUGGGCCCGCCGUGCAUUAGUAGUUUGGUGAAGUACAGGGCGCACACAAGGAAACGAUGCAUACCCCACCCGUGAGAGGGUGAUCCGGCCACCACUGGGAGUGAGAACACGCCCCGACACCCCUACGGGAGGCAGCCACUAGUGGAAUCUUCUCGCCACAGGACGAAAAUCUGACGGAGCAACACCGCCGUGAGUGAUGAAGGCGUUUCUGGGUCAUAAUAACUCUCUUGUUAGGGAAGAACAAGUGCACGAGAAUAACUGCUUGUACCCUGACAGCACACUAACCAGAAAAACCACGGCUAAAUACGUGCCCGCAGCCCGCGGUAAUACAUGUAGGUGGCAAGCGUUAUCUCGAGAAUUAUUGCGCGUAAAGCGCGCGCACGCGGUGUCUUAACUGAGAUGUGAAACCCCACGGGUCUACACCGUGGAGGCUCACUUGAAAAACUGGGGGAACAUGAGUGCAAAAAAAAAAAAACAAAAACUCCACCCUCCACGCGGUGAAACUGCCCAGAGAUGUUGGAGGAACACCACUGGCGAAGGCGAAGUCUUUUUCGUUCUCUAACUGCACCCUGAGGUCCCGAAAGCGUUGGGGACCAAACACGAGUUAGAUACCCGGGGGUAGUUCCACCCCCAUAUAAAAAAAACCGCUAAGCGCUAGAGGCGUUUGUUCCCCCCUCUACUGUUCUCAGGAAAACUGCACCCCCUCAAACACUACCCCCCCGGGGGGGGGGAGAGUACCCUCGCAAGAGUGAAAAUCAAAGUUGAAGUGACCGCCGAGGCCCGCACAAGCGGUGGAGCACCUCGUGUUGUUGUCCCCCCCAAAAAAAGAUAUAUAAAACAACGCGAAGAACCUUCUAUCCCCCCGAGGUCUUGAGCAUAUAUCUGACAACUCCAGAGAUAGAGCGUUUCCCUUUGGGGGACAGAGUGACAGGUGGUGCAUGGUUGUCUUCAUGUCGGGUCGUGAGAUGUUGGUUUAAGUCCCGGAACGAGCGCAACCCUUGAUGCUAGUUGCCAGCAUUCAUUUGGGCACUGUAAGGUGACUUCCGGUGACAAACCGGAGGAAGGUGGGGAUGACUUCAAAUCAUCAUGCCCCUUAUGACUUGGGGUACACACGUGCUACAAGGGAUGGAACAAAAGGCUGCAAGACAACGGGGUCAAGCCAAUCCCAUAAAACCGUUGUCAAUUCCGAUCGUAGCUGCAAUUCGCAUGCAUGAAGCGGAAUCGAAGUAAUCGCUGAUCAGCAGUGCGCAGGGCAUC